GAGUUUGAUCAUGGCUCAGAGCGAACGCUGGCGGCGUGCUUAACAUAUGCAAGUCGAACGCGCAGUCUUCUGUAGCAAUACAGGAGGCCGGCGCGUGGCGAACGGGUGCGUAACACGUGGAUAACCUUCCUUCAGGUGGGGAAUAACCCAGUGAAAAUUGGGCUAAUACCGCAUAACAUGACGAUGGCACAUGCCGUUGUCUUCAAAGCCGCAAGGCGCCAGAUGAGGGAUCCGCGGCCGAUUAGCUUGUUGGCGAGGUAAUGGCUCACCAAGGCAAUGAUCGGUAGCCGGACUGAGAGGUUGGCCGGCCACACUGGAACUGAGACACGGUCCAGACUCCUACGGGAGGCAGCAGUGGGGAAUCUUGCGCAAUGGACGAAAGUCUGACGCAGCAACGCCGCGUGGGGGAUGAAGCUUCUCGGAGUGUAAACCCCUUUCGACCCGGACGAAUGCCCGCAAGGGUUUGACGGUACGGGUAUAAGAAGCCCCGGCUAACUACGUGCCAGCAGCCCCGGUAAAACGUAAGGGGCCAGCGUUGCUCGGAAUUACUGGGCGUAAAGGGUCCGUAGGCGGUGUGGCAAGUCGGAAGUGAAAUCUCUGGGCUUAACUCAGAAGCUGCUCCCGAAACUGCCAUGCUAGAGUGUGAGAGAGGCGAGUGGAGUUGCGGGUGUAGCGGUGAAAUGCGUAGAUAUCCGCAGGAACAUCCGAGGCGAAAGCGGCUCGCUGGAUCACAACUGACGCUGAGGGACGAAAGCUAGGGGAGCAAACAGGAUUAGAUACCCUGGUAGUCCAAGCCCUAAACCAUCAGGACUUGGGGUUUGCCCUGUACGGGGCAAGUCCCGUAGCUAACGCGUUAAGUCCUGCGCCUGGGGAGUACGGUCGCAAGGCUGAAACUCAAAGGAAUUGACGGGGGCCCGCACAAGCGGUGGAACAUGUGGUUCAAUUCGACGCAACGCGAAGAACCUUACCUGGGCUUGAACCGCACAGGACCCUCCUUAGAAAUAGGGACUUCCCGCAAGGGACCUGUGUAGAGGUGCUGCAUGGCUGUCGUCAGCUCGUGCCGUGAGGUGUUGGGUUAAGUCCCGCAACGAGCGCAACCCUUACUCGUAGUUGCCACCCGCAAGGGGGAACUCUACGAGGACUGCUCCGGAUAACGGAGAGGAAGGUGGGGAUGAGGUCAAGUCAGCAUGGCCUUUAUGUCCAGGGCUACACACGUGUUACAAUGCGCGCUACAAAGCGUCGCGAACCCGCGAGGGGGAGCUAAUCGCAAAAAAGCGCGCUCAGUUCGGAUUGCAGUCUGCAACUCGACUGCAUGAAGCUGGAAUCGCUAGUAAUGGCGCAUCAGCUACGGCGCCGUGAAUACGUUCCCAGGCCUUGUACACACCGCCCGUCACAUCAUGAAAGCCGGUUGCACCCGAAGUCGCCCCUUAAAAGGUGCCGAAGGUAUGACUGGUGAUUGGGAUGAAGUCGUAACAAGGUAACCGU
RNAcentral lists this ribosomal RNA (1485 nucleotides) under uncultured bacterium. Its description in RNAcentral is "bacterial SSU rRNA". It matches the Rfam family "Bacterial small subunit ribosomal RNA". The record is from RNAcentral.